GGGAGUGUGGCGCAGUGGUAGCGCGUUCGCUUUGGGUGCGAAAGGCCCCGGGUUCGACCCCCGGCUCUCCCC
Molecule: transfer RNA, 72 nt
Organism: Catenaria anguillulae PL171
Lineage: Eukaryota; Fungi; Blastocladiomycota; Blastocladiomycetes; Blastocladiales; Catenariaceae
Rfam family: tRNA
About the family: Transfer RNA (tRNA) molecules are approximately 80 nucleotides in length. Their secondary structure includes four short double-helical elements and three loops (D, anti-codon, and T loops).
Source: Rfam